This is a long non-coding RNA of Diachasmimorpha longicaudata, 534 nucleotides long. RefSeq lists it as uncharacterized. Lineage: Eukaryota; Metazoa; Arthropoda; Insecta; Hymenoptera; Braconidae. The record is from RefSeq and is a predicted model, not a curated record. The transcript is spliced from 2 exons.
UAAAGCAUGCGGUUGACGCUAGACGACUGAGUGACACUAUCUCCCCGCGAUCAAUAUCUCUGGAAGUAAAUAGAGAACAAUCAUUCAGUGGAUUGAAAAAAAUCUCAUGAUCUUUAUCGUCGAGGAUCUUCGCACGAUAAUUUCCUCAAUGAGAGCCACUUCAUGGUUUCAUAAUUAAUUAUAUGGGUACGUUUUAUUCUAAAGUUAUCAUGAUGUAACGUAUACACAAAUUUGGAUGUCAUUUAGGUGAUUCUGAAUCACUGAGUGGUGAGAUCGCGAUCGCUGAAUCUAUUUUGGUGCCGAGAUUGCGAUCGAAUCGAUCUGAUUAAGUGACGAUAAUUGGUGAGAUAGGGAGAGGAAUCGAAUACGGCACCACCUGGCGGUGGCGUCCCUGAAGCUGAACCUUUGCCAUCAUUUUUAUUCAUAAUUUAUGAAUAAUGAGAACUCCGGCGUGAGUGAAUAAUAGAAUAAUAAUUAUUAUGAUAUGAGAGAGAAAAGUAAUCGACAGUUUAUUCUAGAUGACGUCCAAAAAUU